UAGGGAAUCUUCGGCAAUGGACGAAAGUCUGACCGAGCAACGCCGCGUGAGUGAAGAAGGUCUUCGGAUCGUAAAACUCUGUUGUUAGAGAAGAACAAGGACGUUAGUAACUGAACGUCCCCUGACGGUAUCUAACCAGAAAGCCACGGCUAACUACGUGCCAGCAGCCGCGGUACUACGUAGGUGGCAAGAGUUGUCCGGAUUUAUUGGGCGUAAAGCGAGCGCAGGCGGUUUCUUAAGUCUGAUGUGAAAGCCCCCGGCUCAACCGGGGAGGGUCAUUGGAAACUGGGAGACUUUAGUGCAGAAGAGGAGAGUGGAAUUCCAUGUGUAGCGGUGAAAUGCGUAGAUAUAUGGAGGAACACCAGUGGCGAAGGCGGCUCUCUGGUCUGUAACUGACGCUGAGGCUCGAAAGCGUGGGGAGCAAACAGG
This 429-nucleotide ribosomal RNA is filed under the name Gemmatimonadota bacterium. RNAcentral's name for it is "Gemmatimonadetes bacterium partial 16S ribosomal RNA". It matches the Rfam family "Bacterial small subunit ribosomal RNA", at positions 355 to 776 of the family's 1533-position model. Lineage: Bacteria; Pseudomonadati; Gemmatimonadota. The record is from RNAcentral.